RNAcentral lists this ribosomal RNA (675 nucleotides) under uncultured bacterium. Its description in RNAcentral is "bacterial SSU rRNA". It matches the Rfam family "Bacterial small subunit ribosomal RNA", at positions 92 to 745 of the family's 1533-position model. The record is from RNAcentral.
AAAGUGGCGCACGGGUGAGUAACGCGUGGAUAAUCUGCCCGAGGAUUUGGGAUAACAUCUCGAAAGGGGUGCUAAUACCGAAUAAGCCCACGGGGUCUACGGAUCUUGCGGGAAAAGGGGGGGACCUUCGGGCCUCCUGUCCUUGGAUGAGUCUGCGUACCAUUAGCUAGUUGGUGGGGUAAUGGCCUACCAAGGCGACGAUGGUUAGCUGGUCUGAGAGGAUGAUCAGCCACACUGGAACUGAGACACGGUCCAGACUCCUACGGGAGGCAGCAGUGGGGAAUUUUGCGCAAUGGGGGAAACCCUGACGCAGCAACGCCGCGUGGGUGAUGAAGGCCUUCGGGUCGUAAAGCUCUGUCUGGAGGGAAGAAAUGAUUGGGAGCUAAUACCUCUUGAUCUUGACGGUACCUCUGAAGGAAGCACCGGCUAACUCCGUGCCAGCAGCCGCGGUAAUACGGAGGGUGCAAGCGUUGUUCGGAAUUAUUGGGCGUAAAGCGCGUGUAGGCGGUCUUUUAAGUCUGAUGUGAAAGCCCCGGGCUCAACCUGGGAAGUGCAUUGGAAACUGGGAGGCUUGAGUACGGGAGAGGAGAGUGGAAUUCCUAGUGUAGGAGUGAAAUCCGUAGAUAUUAGGAGGAACACCGGUGGCGAAGGCGGCUCUCUGGACCGAUACUGACG